CCUACGGGCGGCUGCAGUGGGGAAUAUUGGACAAUGGGGGGAACCCUGAUCCAGCCAUGCCGCGUGUGUGAAGAAGGCCCUCGGGUUGUAAAGCACUUUCAGUGAGGAAGAACGCCUGGUGGUUAAUACCCAUCAGGAAAGACAUCACUCACAGAAGAAGCACCGGCUAACUCCGUGCCAGCAGCCGCGGUAAUACGGAGGGUGCGAGAGUUAAUCGGAAUUACUGGGCGUAAAGCGCGCGUAGGUGGCUUGAUAAGCCGGUUGUGAAAGCCCCGGGCUCAACCUGGGAACGGCAUCCGGAACUGUCAAGCUAGAGUGCAGGAGAGGAAGGUAGAAUUCCCGGUGUAGCGGUGAAAUGCGUAGAGAUCGGGAGGAAUACCAGUGGCGAAGGCGGCCUUCUGGACUGACACUGACACUGAGGUGCGAAAGCGUGGGUAGCAAACAGGAUUAGAUACCCUUGUAGUC
This 465-nucleotide ribosomal RNA is filed under the name Vreelandella stevensii. RNAcentral describes it as "partial 16S ribosomal RNA". It matches the Rfam family "Bacterial small subunit ribosomal RNA", at positions 338 to 795 of the family's 1533-position model. Lineage: Bacteria; Pseudomonadati; Pseudomonadota; Gammaproteobacteria; Oceanospirillales; Halomonadaceae. The record is from RNAcentral.